RNAcentral lists this long non-coding RNA (300 nucleotides) under Setaria viridis. RNAcentral describes it as "long non-coding RNA (SVIR_LNC007708)". The record is from RNAcentral. Lineage: Eukaryota; Viridiplantae; Streptophyta; Magnoliopsida; Poales; Poaceae.
GCUAAGGCGGCUUCCACUGCGAUGGUCGUCCACCGAGUCCCCGAGCAACUCCACCACGCGAGCGAGAAUUGGCUUGCUUGCUGACAACAAAAAGAAAUCAUGCGGCCGCAAAUCCCCACUGCUGGACAAACACGUCGCCCGCUCGGCCCGUGUCGCGCCACUCCUCCGGCAUGCUCCUUGCUUCUCUGCCAGCUGAACAUGUCGCCCACACUGACCGCUCUGUUGGCGGUAUGCGCCGUCCCGUUCCCGCUGAAUUCUGCUAGGCCGACUGACCGCUUGACCGGCUCUGCUUUGUUAAGC